This 253-nucleotide ribosomal RNA is filed under the name uncultured bacterium. RNAcentral's name for it is "partial 16S ribosomal RNA". It matches the Rfam family "Bacterial small subunit ribosomal RNA", at positions 80 to 334 of the family's 1533-position model. The record is from RNAcentral.
UUUCUUUGCCGGCGACCGGCGCACGGGUGAGUAACACGUAUCCAACCUGCCCUUUACUCGGGGAUAGCCUUUCGAAAGAAAGAUUAAUACCCGAUAGCAUAAUGAUUCCGCAUGGUUUCAUUAUUAAAGGAUUCCGGUAAAGGAUGGGGAUGCGUUCCAUUAGGUUGUUGGUGAGGUAACGGCUCACCAAGCCUUCGAUGGAUAGGGGUUCUGAGAGGAAGGUCCCCCACAUUGGAACUGAGACACGGUCCAA